GAUGAACGCUGGCGGCGUGCCUAAUACAUGCAAGUCAAGCGAACGGACGAGAAGCUUGCUUCUCUGAUGUUAGCGGCGGACGGGUGAGUAACACGUGGAUAACCUACCUAUAAGACUGGGAUAACUUCGGGAAACCGGAGCUAAUACCGGAUAAUAUUUUGAACCGCAUGGUUCAAAAGUGAAAGACGGUCUUGCUGUCACUUAUAGAUGGAUCCGCGCUGCAUUAGCUAGUUGGUAAGGUAACGGCUUACCAAGGCAACGAUGCAUAGCCGACCUGAGAGGGUGAUCGGCCACACUGGAACUGAGACACGGUCCAGACUCCUACGGGAGGCAGCAGUAGGGAAUCUUCCGCAAUGGGCGAAAGCCUGACGGAGCAACGCCGCGUGAGUGAUGAAGGUCUUCGGAUCGUAAAACUCUGUUAUUAGGGAAGAACAUAUGUGUAAGUAACUGUGCACAUCUUGACGGUACCUAAUCAGAAGGCCACGGCUAACUACGUG
Molecule: ribosomal RNA, 497 nt
Filed under: uncultured bacterium
Lineage: Bacteria
Description: partial 16S ribosomal RNA
Rfam family: Bacterial small subunit ribosomal RNA
Source: RNAcentral